RNAcentral lists this ribosomal RNA (284 nucleotides) under Parabacteroides gordonii MS-1 = DSM 23371. Its description in RNAcentral is "partial 16S ribosomal RNA". It matches the Rfam family "Bacterial small subunit ribosomal RNA", at positions 493 to 776 of the family's 1533-position model. Lineage: Bacteria; Pseudomonadati; Bacteroidota; Bacteroidia; Bacteroidales; Tannerellaceae. The record is from RNAcentral.
UCUGGUCCUUGUGUGCCCGCCGCCGCGGUCCUACGGAGGCUCCGCGCGUUCUCCGGAUUUAUUGGGUUUAAAGGGUGCGUAGGUGGUUUAUUAAGUCAGCGGUGAAAGUUUGUGGCUCAACCAUAAAAUUGCCGUUGAAACUGGUUAACUUGAGUAUAUUUGAGGUAGGCGGAAUGCGUGGUGUAGCGGUGAAAUGCAUAGAUAUCACGCAGAACUCCAAUUGCGAAGGCAGCUUACUAAACUAUAACUGACACUGAAGCACGAAAGCGUGGGGAUCAAACAGG